UGGGGAAUUUUGCACAAUGGGGGAAACCCUGAUGCAGCGACGCCGCGUGAUUUAGAAGGCCUUCGGGUUGUAAAAAUCUUUUUUACGGGAUGAAAAUGACAGUACCGUAAGAAUAAGGUCCGGCUAAAUACGUGCCAGCAGCCGCGGUAAUACGUAUGGACCGAGCGUUGUCCGGAAUCAUUGGGCGUAAAGGGUACGUAGGCGGCCUAGUAAGUUAGAAGUGAAAUAAUAUAGCUCAACUAUAUAAAGCUUUUAAAACUGCUAGGCUUGAGAGAUGGAAGGAAAGUGGAAUUCCUAGUGUAGCGGUGAAAUGCGCAGAUAUUAGGAAGAAUACCGGUGGCGAAGGCGACUUUCUGGUCAUCAUCUGACGCUGAGGUACGAAAGCGUGGGUAGCAAACAGG
Molecule: ribosomal RNA, 401 nt
Filed under: bacterium
Lineage: Bacteria
Description: partial 16S ribosomal RNA
Rfam family: Bacterial small subunit ribosomal RNA
Source: RNAcentral